Molecule: ribosomal RNA, 256 nt
Filed under: uncultured Gardnerella sp.
Lineage: Bacteria; Bacillati; Actinomycetota; Actinomycetes; Bifidobacteriales; Bifidobacteriaceae
Description: partial 16S ribosomal RNA
Rfam family: Bacterial small subunit ribosomal RNA
Source: RNAcentral
CGAACGGGUGAGUAAUGCGUGACCAACCUGCCCCAUGCUCCAGAAUAGCUCUUGGAAACGGGUGGUAAUGCUGGAUGCUCCAACUUGACGCAUGUCUUGUUGGGAAAGUGUUUAGUGGCAUGGGAUGGGGUCGCGUCCUAUCAGCUUGUAGGCGGGGUAAUGGCCCACCUAGGCUUCGACGGGUAGCCGGCCUGAGAGGGCGGACGGCCACAUUGGGACUGAGAUACGGCCCAGACUCCUACGGGAGGCAGCAGGA